Molecule: ribosomal RNA, 327 nt
Filed under: uncultured bacterium
Lineage: Bacteria
Description: bacterial SSU rRNA
Rfam family: Bacterial small subunit ribosomal RNA
Source: RNAcentral
GACGAACGCUGGCGGCGUGCUUAACACAUGCAAGUCGAACGGACAGACAGAGAGCUUGCUCUCUUGAAGUUAGUGGCGAACGGGUGAGUAACGCGUAAUCAACCUGCCCUUCAGAGGGGGAUAACAACGGGAAACCGUUGCUAAUACCGCGUACGAUUCAUAAGCGGCAUCGCUUGUGAAUGAAAGGUGGCCUCUAUUUAUAAGCUAUCGCUGAAGGAGGGGAUUGCGUCUGAUUAGCUAGUUGGAGGGGUAACGGCCCACCAAGGCAAUGAUCAGUAGCCGGUCUGAGAGGAUGAACGGCCACAUUGGGACUGAGACACGGCCCAA